GGGUUGUGAGGUUAAGCGACUAAGCGUACACGGUGGAUGCCCUGGCAGUCAGAGGCGAUGAAGGACGUGCUAAUCUGCGAUAAGCGUCGGUAAGGUGAUAUGAACCGUUAUAACCGGCGAUUUCCGAAUGGGGAAACCCAGUGUGUUUCGACACACUAUUAUUAACUGAAUCCAUAGGUUAAUGAGGCGAACCGGGGGAACUGAAACAUCUAAGUACCCCGAGGAAAAGAAAUCAACCGAGAUUCCCCCAGUAGCGGCGAGCGAACGGGGAGCAGCCCAGAGCCUGAAUCAGUGUGUGUGUUAGUGGAAGCGUCUGGAAAGGCGCGCGAUACAGGGUGACAGCCCCGUACACAAAAAUACACAUACUGUGAGCUCGAUGAGUAGGGCGGGACACGUGGUAUCCUGUCUGAAUAUGGGGGGACCAUCCUCCAAGGCUAAAUACUCCUGACUGACCGAUAGUGAACCAGUACCGUGAGGGAAAGGCGAAAAGAACCCCGGCGAGGGGAGUGAAAAAGAACCUGAAACCGUGUACGUACAAGCAGUGGGAGCACGCUUAGG
Molecule: ribosomal RNA, 558 nt
Filed under: Escherichia coli
Lineage: Bacteria; Pseudomonadati; Pseudomonadota; Gammaproteobacteria; Enterobacterales; Enterobacteriaceae
Description: partial 23S ribosomal RNA
Rfam family: Bacterial large subunit ribosomal RNA
Source: RNAcentral